GCGCCCGUAGCUCAACGGAUAGAGCAACAGGUUUCUACCCUGUUGGUUGGGGGUUCGAUUCCCUCCGGGCGCA
This 73-nucleotide transfer RNA is filed under the name Actinomycetota bacterium. RNAcentral describes it as "tRNA-Arg". It matches the Rfam family "tRNA". Rfam says of the family: Transfer RNA (tRNA) molecules are approximately 80 nucleotides in length. Their secondary structure includes four short double-helical elements and three loops (D, anti-codon, and T loops). Further hydrogen bonds mediate the characteristic L-shaped molecular structure. tRNAs have two regions of fundamental functional importance: the anti-codon, which is responsible for specific mRNA codon recognition, and the 3' end, to which the tRNAs corresponding amino acid is attached (by aminoacyl-tRNA synthetases). tRNAs cope with the degeneracy of the genetic code in two manners: having more than one tRNA (with a specific anti-codon) for a particular amino acid; and 'wobble' base-pairing, i.e. permitting non-standard base-pairing at the 3rd anti-codon position. The record is from RNAcentral. Lineage: Bacteria; Bacillati; Actinomycetota.